UCAAUAAACAACCCGGGUAUCGCACGGGCACAAAACUAGUAUCUUUAUAUAAACAAAAAUUAAAAAUCUGAUUCGAGUACAACGUGGUAUGAUCGUCUGUCUACACGAAUACACGACUACACAAGAUAAAUCCUCCGCAAGAAAAAAACAAAAAGUAAAUUGAAAAUACAAUAAUCAGGUAAUAAAAAUUUAUACACCCCACAAAUCUAAUCAAAAAAAUGAUCCGUUGGAAAUAGCGACGCUAACAGGAGAGAGAGAAACUUCAAAGAUUGUACAAACUUGAAUUCAACAAACCCUAAUUUCUUUUUGUUUUUCAUUACUCUCAAAUUCCUUUUCAAUUACUUCCCCAGAAAAAUCCCCAAAUUGAUUGAAAAUGGCUGCAAUUGAAGAUAAUAAUCCCAAAAACCCUAACCCUAGCGAAACUCCGAGGAAGAGAAGACCAAGCUUACCGGAGCUCUGGUUUAAGGAUCAGCAAUUGAAGCAUGCAAUCUUCAGAAUGCAGCAGCUUCAACAAGCUCACAGUAAUUCCAAUUCAAAUUCCAAGAAUUUGAUUUUAGGUGGUGAUCCUUUCUCUCUCUUAUCUGAUGAAUCGCUUAGUUUUAUUUUUUCUAAGGUGCCGAUUUCGCAGCAUUUUUCGAAUUCAUUGAUUUGUAAGAGGUGGUAUGUCAUUCAAGGCCAGUUAAUUCGUUCAAUUUCACUGUUUGAUUGGGAUUUUCUUGAAUCUGGGAGAUUAACUUGUCGGUUUCCUAAUUUGAGUGAGAUUAAUCUUGGUCCAGCUUGUUUUAGGAGUUGUUGGAGUUCUGGGAUUUUGAUGUCACAUAGAUUGGUUUCGAUUCAUCUCGAUUCGGAGAUUGUAAGUGAUAGUUUGGUUGGAAGUGAAGGGGUUUUGGGGUCUAGGUUGAUUGAUAGAGGGCUCAAAGUGCUUGCUGAUGGGUGUCCUAAUUUGAGCAAAUUAGUGUUGGUUAAUGCUAGUGAGAAGGGGUUAGGUUAUUUGGCUGAAAAAUGUUUGAUUUUGCAAGAGUUGGAGAUACAUUGUUGUGAGGAUAUGUCGUUGACAGCGAUUUCCGGGUUUAAGAACUUGCAGAUACUCAAAUUGGUGGGCUGUGUGGAUGGUUUGUAUGAUUCUGUAGUAACCGAUAUCGGGUUGACAAUGGUAGCUCAGGGUUGUAGGAGGUUAGUGAAGCUUGAGCUUAGUGGGUGUGAGGGUAGCUAUGAUGGGAUUAAGGCCAUUGGGCAAUGUUGUCAAAUGUUGGAAGAGUUGACUCUUUGUGGUCACAAGAUGGAUGGUGGGUGGCUGUCGGCGCUUUCGUUUUGUAGCAAUUUGAAGACAUUGAAGCUCCAGUCUUGCCAGAGUAUAGAUAGCUGCCCUGGUCCUGAUGAGCAUUUGGGCUCAUGUCCGACACUUGAGGAGCUGCACUUGGAGCGAUGCCAAGUUCGGGAUAAAGAGAGUACAAAAGCUCUGUUCUUGGUGUGUGAAUCCAUCAGAGAGAUCUCGUUGCAGGAUUGUUGGGGGUUAGAGGAUGAUAUAUUUCGUUAUGCUGUUAAUUGUAGGAGGGUGAAGUCUCUAUCUUUAGAAGGAUGUUCUCUGCUUACAACGGAAGGCUUGGAUUCAGUGGUUCAUAAAUGGACAGAGCUCCAGACACUGAAAGUGGUGUCAUGUAAUAGUAUAAAAGAUUCCGAAAUCACUGCUGAGCUGGCAACUUUGUUUUCUGUCCUGAAAGAAUUGAAGUGGAGGCCAGAUUCCAGAUCUCUACUAGCUUCAAGUCUUGCUGGCACUGGAGUGGGAAAGAAGGGUGGUAGAUUCUUCAAAAGGGUAUGAGGCUGAACUUAUAACCUGGUGGUGCAAGUCUGAACUUCAAUUGUUGUAUCUGGCUGUCUCAGACAGCCAUCAUAAAGAUGGUUAACAUGGUGGACAAGAGAAAGUAAUUGGCUUUCUGGAAGCUGCUCAGGGAGCCAUUGGCAACAUCUGUGUAAAUAUACUGUUCUUCAUGACCCCAAAUGUAUGUGGGGUUCCAAUUUAUUAGAAGUUUUAAUAAAGAUCGAUUCUGUUGUAUUUUACUUAGAAUAGUUAGAAAUGUAGAAAACUUGUAUACUUUCUGUUUCCGUUGAGUAGUUGAACCAAUUGACGGGAGGUGCUGCACUCGAAAACUCACCCCCACAUUAUUAUAUCACAACUCUGAGAAUUUGCAAAGUUGCAUACUUGACAUAAUUGUUUAAAAAUUGGCUCAGUUACCACUGAA
Chenopodium quinoa (quinoa) is the source of this 2240-nucleotide RNA transcript. It is a transcript of the gene named F-box protein At5g51380-like, with no coding region annotated. The record is from RefSeq and is a predicted model, not a curated record. The transcript has 3 exons. NCBI's taxonomy places the organism in Eukaryota, Viridiplantae, Streptophyta, Magnoliopsida, Caryophyllales, Amaranthaceae.